UGGGGAAUUUUGGACAAUGGGCGCAAGCCUGAUCCAGCCAUGCCGCGUGAGUGAAGAAGGCCUUCGGGUUGUAAAGCUCUUUCGCAAGGAAAGAAAACUUACCUGUUAAUACCAGGUGAGGAUGACGGUACCUUGAUAAGAAGCACCGGCUAACUACGUGCCAGCAGCCGCGGUAAUACGUAGGGUGCGAGCGUUAAUCGGAAUUACUGGGCGUAAAGCGUGCGCAGGCGGUUCGAUAAGUCUGAUGUGAAAUCCCCGGGCUCAACCUGGGAACUGCGUUGGAAACUGUCGAGCUAGAGUGUAGAAGAGGGGGGUAGAAUUCCACGUGUAGCAGUGAAAUGCGUAGAGAUGUGGAGGAAUACCGAUGGCGAAGGCAGCCCCCUGGGCUAACACUGACGCUCAUGCACGAAAGCGUGGGGAGCAAACAGG
Molecule: ribosomal RNA, 429 nt
Filed under: uncultured bacterium
Lineage: Bacteria
Description: bacterial SSU rRNA
Rfam family: Bacterial small subunit ribosomal RNA
Source: RNAcentral